Homarus americanus (American lobster) is the source of this 1105-nucleotide long non-coding RNA. RefSeq lists it as uncharacterized. Lineage: Eukaryota; Metazoa; Arthropoda; Malacostraca; Decapoda; Nephropidae. The record is from RefSeq and is a predicted model, not a curated record. The transcript has 2 exons.
UUGCAAUCCAAAAUUAUCAUCGUUAUUGAUUGGUGUAAUCUAUCAUCACUAUUAUAAUAAUAAUUUUUAUUACUAUUAUUAAUAUUAUUACCUGGUAUUAUUAUCGUUAUUUUUAUUAUUUUUGCCCAUUAGUAUUACUGGUUAGUAGUGGGCGAUUAUGAAAUUUAUUUUUGCAUUAUUGUUGGUUCAUACUGCUCAUUUAGGUUUAAUUUGUAAUUUGUUAUUUAAUUCCCACAUAUAUAGUGAAGCAAAUAAAUUAAGCGAGAUAGUAGUGACUAGUAACGAUGUUAGUAAGCAAACAGACAAGCUAAAGCCUAAUAAGUGACCACGUCCCGAUGAGAUAUUUGCCAGAGUAUUAACGAAAUGUAAGGGAGAGCUUAGUACUGUAUGCCCUUAGGAAAUUUGUUUAACAUGUCAUUAAAAACGUUCGUGUGUGACAAAUCUAUUAGCAUUCUUUUCAGCUGUUAUGGCUUCAGUGGACGGCGGGCACGAUCAUGAUGUGGUAUAUACAUCGACUUUAGGAAAGCCUUUGACAGAGUCCCAACGAAAGACGAAUACGAAAAGUUGAGGCAUUGAAGGAGUUAUUCUAAAAUGGAUUAGGGCAUGGUUACAGGACAGGAAACAACGAAUAAUGUUCCCCAACAUUAUACGGAAUGGCUUCAGUAGAAGAUAAGAUGAAUUGUGUCCUUUGGUUAGUUGAGUUGAAUUCUGUACCAGGAACAUCUAGUUCCAGAGGAGCCCGUCUUAGUGAUUUUCGUGGACUAUUUAGAAAAGUUUUCUCUAUAGACGCCACAGUCUCCUUGUUUGCUCCCGGUCUUCCAGUUCGUGGCUUGUAAUUAACGGAACCUGUCUCUUUAAACUUCUUCAUCCAACUCGUAAUUGAAUUUCUGUGUGGUUUUUCCUUCUUGUAAGGAGUCGUAAAUUUUCUUCUAACCGCUGUUACAGACUUUAACUCAGCUAAGUAGAGGACAUAAUUUACCUUCUCUUCUAUUGAAUCUAUUCAGUGUUGGGGCAGAUUACCUGUAAAAACAGAAAGAAAAAAAUUAGAAUAAAUAAUUUUUUGGUCACUAAAAACUUGAAUAAAUUAUCUCGCCAAUGCAUUUUA